AAAAUAUUUUUGAAGAGAACUCGAAGCAUUAAAACACUUUAAAAAUGAUAUUGGUGAGAUUAUGUCGGUCCAUAGUAACCAUCAUCUCUCUAUUUGAAGGAAUCUCUUCUAAGUUCUAAGCGUUUGUCACAAAUUGAGUUUCUUAAUUUUCCCUUAAUCAACUAACCAACUAGGUUUGAUAUCAAAGUGAUAUUAGUAGAUUUUAUCAAACUGUUACCUGGAUCGUGUGAAAUAAGAGUAGUACCAAAUGCAUUACUACCAUUUUUUAUAAAAGUAGUAGUCCCAACAAAUACCUUUAAAGAUUUUAUUUUUUUGAAUUAUAUAUCUUUAUAUCUUAUAAAACCAUAUAAAUAAUUGAAUCGAGUCUCCGAGUAUUGAGAAGUACCUUAUAAACCUUAUAAAUAUUUUCAAGUUUAGUGUAGGGCAUUUAUGAAAAUGUACAGCUAAGUGGAAUAGUUUUUGAAAAUAUGUACAUUAAAAGGGAAAAUGUCCCUUUUUUGUCAAGGAAUUUUUUUUUAUAAAAAUGUUUUAGAGAGUCACAUUUCUUUCUGUUUUU
RNAcentral lists this small RNA (556 nucleotides) under Arabidopsis thaliana (thale cress). Its description in RNAcentral is "ATSL048310". Lineage: Eukaryota; Viridiplantae; Streptophyta; Magnoliopsida; Brassicales; Brassicaceae. The record is from RNAcentral.